AACGAACGCUGGCGGCGCGCCUAAUACAUGCAAGUCGAGCGAGAAGACGUAGCAAUACGUUUGUAAAGCGGCGAACGGGUGAGGAAUACAUGGGUAACCUACCCUCGAGUGGGGAAUAACCAGCCGAAAGGUUAGCUAAUACCGCGUACGCUCCUUGGACUUCGGUUCAGGGAGGAAAGCGAUACCGUGGGUAUCGCGCUCUUGGUUGGGCUCAUGUCCUAUCAGCUUGUUGGUGAGGAACGGCUCACCAAGGCUUCGACGGGUAGCUGGUCUGAGAGGACGAUCAGCCACACUGGCACUGCGACACGGGCCAGACUCCUACGGGAGGCAGCAGUAAGGAAUAUUGCGCAAUGGGCGAAAGCCUGACGCAGCGACGCCGCGUGGGGGAUGAAGGUCUUCGGAUUGUAAACCCCUUUCGGGAGGGAAGAUGGAACGAGCAAUCGUUCGGACGGUACCUCCAGAAGCAGCCACGGCUAACUUCGUGCC
RNAcentral lists this ribosomal RNA (486 nucleotides) under uncultured bacterium. Its description in RNAcentral is "bacterial SSU rRNA". It matches the Rfam family "Bacterial small subunit ribosomal RNA", at positions 29 to 509 of the family's 1533-position model. The record is from RNAcentral.